Peromyscus californicus insignis is the source of this 19553-nucleotide long non-coding RNA. RefSeq lists it as uncharacterized. NCBI's taxonomy places the organism in Eukaryota, Metazoa, Chordata, Mammalia, Rodentia, Cricetidae. The record is from RefSeq and is a predicted model, not a curated record. The transcript has 3 exons.
GCGCGAGCUCGGUGGACGGGAGCUCAGUGCGGCGUUCGUAAGGAACUCUCGGUGCGGCUGAGGCCCGAGGGAAAGAAGCCGGCCUGGAAUCCUCCUGGGGUGAAAAACAGCACGUGGGUGUGAGUGUGUGAGGCUCCCAUAGAGCGUGUGACACCCCUAAUGUGAUUUUAUCAAUACGUUCACCAAUUCAUUCCAUCUCCUUAACUCCCCCCUUAGCACCCCCGAGUACGGGAAACACAGGAAACAACUUCAUUCUUAAACACUCAUGUAUAUAUACCUAGCCGAUGAGUAUUUAAAGGCAUAGCCACGCUGUCACAUCGAAGAAAGGAACAAUUCUUUACACAUUGCCAAUAGCGCCCUUUUACAAUUGGUUUGGGGCAUCCAGAUAAACCAAGGUCACCCUGUUCCACCGGGAUCACGUGUGAAAGUGUCUCACUUGACGGCUUUAAAAUUAGCUAACAACAAAGGUUUGGUUGGCAUAAGGCAGUAUGGCUGCGUGCCCUCACUUGGUGAUUGUCAGUCGAUUUUCAUUUGUCUAGCUCAAAAGAUUGCUGUGCUUCUACCAUGUGCCAAGAUGUAAAGCUUGCCUUCUAACUCGUUUUUUCCGAUAGUAAACCUGGUCCGUUGAAACCUGAACUGGUAAACAAAUGCUUGACGUAAGUCUGCCAAUCGAGGUAAUAUGCCUUUCUUGUCAUUUUUCCUGGUCGAGUUGUGGAAAGCCUUCCUUCACUGCCAUGCCAAGGACGUCUGAAAUUUAGCCUGAAAACUCUGAGGGGUCUGAUGAGAAGUUAAGGUGCUCCUCCUACCAUUCAACAUGCUCCUUCACCUGUGACAUUUUCCUUGAUUCAUAACCUGGUGAACCUUGUCUUAUUGGAGGCCCCACUCUGCUUGUUUUGUAGACGAGUAUGAUAUAUAAUAUGAAUGCUCUUCUCAAAUGUGAGUCUAAAUUCUUUAUCUGGCUUUGAAAACUUAUUUGCAGGUUCUAGUAAACGAUCACAGCUAUACCUAGACCAAAGACAAGUCUCCCUCUAUUGGGGAAGGUCAUCCUUUUUGACCAAAUAUCUGGUUUCAUAGGACAAUGAAGAGGAAAGGGAACACCCAACUAGACACCCAGAUCAGCCAAAUCAACCCUGUUGACAGAUGUCAAGGCUAGAUUCACUUACGACUUUGGGUGUUACACCCCCCCCACCCCGCAAUAAUUCAAGAGCGUAAUUCCUAUUACCGUUUAAAGGUUGGCCAGGAAUUUUCUCUCAUGUAAUACUAUGAAAUGCCUUUCUCCACUUUUUACCAAUUUGAGAUGUUCCUAUAAAACAGUAUAAAAGUGCGAAGUUAGACAAUAUAAGCCGGUAGCCUGGCUCUGCCUUCUUUUAACAGGGAGCUGUAGCAAUUUAUUUUUCUGAGGUUAUUUCCUUAGUGUAAGAUGGUAUUAAUAGUAUUUACGGUCUGGGGAUGUGGCUUAGUUGGUAAAGUGCUUGUGUAGAGUGCACAAAGACCCUGGGUUCAGUCUCUAGAAAAAAAGAAAAAGAGAUGCUAGAAACACAAAAGGCAACUUUUGAUUCAGCUGCUCUAAAUUUCUCAUUUAGGCUGCCCUUUGGCUUUGUAACAAAUCAGUGAAUAAAUUGGCUUUUUGAGGUCCCGAUUCUGUCCCCAGAACCACUUGAAUGCAGUGUGGUAGCUCACACCUGUAGUCCUAACCCUUGAGAAUAAGAGCAAUGAAGUGUUAGCUUUAUUUUUGGCCCACUUACCCACAGGCUGUUUCUGCCGUCUGUAUUCACCGCCCUAGCUGGCUGUCCUGCGCUUCCUCAAGUCCUCCACUAUGUGAUUAAUGCUCUUCAGUCUUUCUCAUGUUCUCACAUUCCUAGGUGUCCUGCCUGCUGAUUUGCUGCAUUUCUUUCCCCUUUCGGCCAGUUUCUGCUGCACACGAAAGCAAGUUCCUUUGUGUAGUUACUAUUUUUAUCUCAUUUCUGUCCAUGAACAGUUGAAAACAGCAGGCUCUCCCCUUUGGUUUCACUUUUAGUUUAGUUUAUCCUUUUUCUUUUUGCUUUGUUGUAAGGGGAAAAAUUCUUCACUUGAUUCCAUUUCAGCUUAUGAUAUUCUGGUGACCAGUGUCUGGAAAUUCCCUCAGCCCUGUCAUUUUAUUUGUUUAUUACUUACCUCUAAACAACCGCUUUUUAUUUUCAUUUAUUUAUAAUGUUUUGUUCACUUUUGAGUUGUAAUUGUAGUCAGCAUUUUAUCUGCUAAUUUCGUAGGGCUACAAGUUAUUUCAGAAUAGCUCUGUGCAUCAUCUGCCACGUGCUGUCGUCCCUGAUAUCGUGAACCUGACUUAAACCUGUGUCAGCGUGAGCAUUGUUGCACUUCAGCCAUUUUCUGCGUUUCGGAGAUGCUUCAUUUAAUUUGGCUCGAUUAUUUAGUUAAUGCCAGGAAAGAGGAAAUACCUUCAUCUCAUUUCAUGACUCAGGAUCCUAAAAUGCUGAGUCACAGUGCAUAUGAUGGCUGUUCUCAUUAGGCAAAUAAUUGAGUUUGAGGCUAAAGUGAUUUCCGAUUUCUGCCAGGUGUCCACUGUUGUUCAAAUCCUUUAUUUUAUUUGAUUCAGUAUGCUUGUGAUUGGGUGCUAUUGGGUUGAGAUAAGGGCAUGGAUAGGGCCUAGGGAAGGUGUGUAUGAAUUACAUUGUUAUAUUUUGAAGGCCAUUCCUAUUCACAGGUAAUUAAAUGUAGAAAUGUGCAAUUGAUUAUUUUAGUCAACACUGUAUAUAUCAUUCAGGCUACUCAGAAAGUAGUUCUGCUUUCUGCCUUUAACUAGCUCUUCGUUUUAUUUAACUUUAAAUUUUUCUUUUCUCAGGGCUGACCAUUUGGUACUGGAUAACCAGUUGGUUUCUCUUCCCUCAGUUGCCUGAGGUUCUUUGUGUAGAGCUGAGGCUUCGUGGCAUCUCCCCGUCAUCUUCAGCAUGUCUGUUGCUGUUGUCCUUGCUCAGCCCACGGUUAGGCAGCCACGUGGGUGAGACUGUGGGUGUAGCUUCUGACCUUAGUGGAGAUACAGUCGCACAGCAAACUCCCUGAUCCUCUGGCUCUUACAGUCUUUCCAUCCCCUCUUUCUCAAUGUUCCCUGAGCCUUAGGUUCAAAAGUUGUUUGGUAGAUGUAUCCAUUGGGUCUGGGCUCCACAACUCUGUGCUUUGAUUGGUUGUGGUUUUCUUAAUGGCCCCUGUCUGUUGCAAAGAGGGGCUUCCUUGAUGAGGAUCGAGGACUGCACUUACCUGUGGGUAUUAGGAUAAAUAUUUAGAAUGUAGUUAGGGCUUAGUGAAGUAGUGGUUGUAGGUUCUCCUCCAAGAUCCAUGACUUCACCAGGACGAAAGAGGCUAGGUUUCCAGUACCAGGAAGGUUCUCUGUUGUUGAGCAGAUCUUGAGUCUAACUAGAGAGCUGUUGGUUAGCACCAAGGUGUGUGUGCUACUGCCGUACACUAGGGCUGCUGGGCCAUGCUGGCUGCUGUUGUAGUUCACAGGCAUCACAGCGGGGCAGGACUCUUCGCUGGUUGCUUCCCUCCUUUGGAAGCUUGCAUGGCAAUCUUCUGCUGCUGUGAAAGCUAGUCCUCAAGGAGGCUUGCUUUCUUUUUAAAGAUGGGGGUCUUUUUUAAAUUCCUUAAGAGUUUCGUACAUGCAUAUGUUUUAAUCAGAUCCAUCCCCCAUUUCUUCCCUUCCAGUUUCUCCCUUAUCCUCUCUACCACUUUUUCCUCCUAACUUCAUGUACUCUUUUUAAAAAGAAAUUUAUUGUAUGUGUGUAUGGGUAUUUUGCCUGUGUGAAAGUCUGUAUGCCACUUGUGUGCCUGGUGCCCACAAAGAUCUGUAAAGUAUUUUGGGUCGCCUAGAACAGGAGUUACAGAUGGUCUGGAGCUGUCAUGUAGGUACUGGCAGUCAAACCCAGGUCCUCUGCAAGAUAGCCAGUGUUCUUAACCCCGGAGCCCUCACUGAGCGCUUUCAGAGCCACCUAUAUGUGACGGGUGUAGGGCCAUCUGCAUGGUAACCUCUGAGUUACCUCUACAUCCCUGAAGAAAACUGACUCCCCCAGUGGUCAUCAGUUGUCAAUUCCACAGUUAUGGGUGGGAGGGACUUCUUGAUCCCCUCUCCCUUCCAUGCUGAAAUUGUGGCUGGCUUGAUCUUGUACGGGCAGUCCCAGUUGCUAUGAGUUCAAAUGUUCAAUGACCCUGUCAUACAGAAAAUACUGUUUUAUAGAAGUUAUCCACUACCUUUGGUUCUUACAGUCUUUCUGCAUUUUCUCUUUGUGAUGAUCCCUGAGCAUUGCUGGGGGUGGGUAACAGAGAUGUUAAAAGGUUGAGCUCUUCGUGGUCUCUUAUUCUCUGCAUGUUGACUAACUGUGAGUCUCUGUAUUAGUUGUCAUCUACAGGGAAAAGAAGCGUCUCUGAUACAGAUUGAGAGAUGUUAUAAUAUAUGGGUAUACAGAUAAGAACUCAGUGGGCAGUUUAUUACUAUGUCCACUUAGCAGAACAGUCGUGUUAGGUUCUUCCUUAGGGCAUAUGACUUAGCCAGCCACACGUUUUUGGCCCAGUUAAAAGUACCAGGCAUGAGUUCCAUUUUGUGGAGUGGAUCUUAUACCCAAUCAAAAAGUGGUUGGUUACUCCCAUAACAUUCAUGUUACUAUUGCACUAGUGGGCAUAUUUUACCAGGAUAAUUGUCAUACUUUGCAGGGCCCACAGCUGAGUAAGACUGUUGAUUAUUCUUUCCUCCAUUCCCCAGGUACCAUGCAUAGCACCUUCCAACAUUAUGAAAGCUAGCCAGUGUAGAACAAGCUUCCAGACUAGUACCAGUUUUAUUUCCCCAUGCAAGACAGAGUCUUACAUAGUUCAGGUUGGUCUCAAUCUUGCUAUGUUGCUAAGGAUGACCUUGGUCCUUCUGCUUUCACUUUCUGAGUGCUGGAAUUACGGGCAUGUGCACCAUGCCUGAUUUAUUUGGUAUUGGAGAUCGAACCCAGGGCUUCCUGCAUACUAGGAUAUAGUUCUAGAAAUUGAACUAAACCCCCAACUAGAUUUUAAUAUAUAAAAGGUGAUGAAGUUAAACUAUUUUUCAGUAUACAGAAGGUAUUAAUGGCUCUUGUUAUGAGGGUAUCAGAUCAUGUUAAGAUUUGCUGGGUACUCUGAAGAAAUGCACAUGAAAUUUGCAUCUUUGCACAAUCUCUGAAUACCUUGCAGUGCUUAAAUAAGAUUAUUCAUCAAGGGGACAGCAAGAUAGUAUAUUGUAUUCAAGCCCUACCUUUCAAACCCUGUUGAGGAUGGCAUCGAGCUUCUGAUUCUACUGACUGUACCUCUAGUGCGUACCUAGUUUUCGUAAUUUUUUCUAUCCUUCAUUCUUUUUUUCAAGACAGGGUCUUAGGUUGGCAUCUAACUCAUGAUCUCCUGCUUUAAUCUCAUAAGUGUAUGCCAUCACACUUGGCUCAAAUAUUUUAAUUAGAUUCAUUCAUUAUUCUGUGUGGUAUAUGGGCAUGGAAGCCCAUGUGGAGGUCAGAGAACAACUUUGUGGAGUCAGUUCUCUUCUUUAAGUCAUCAGGCAUGUACAGCAAGCACUUUUACCCACUAUGCCAUCCUGCUGACCCUUAGAUGUUUUAUGUUAUUGCAGUGGUAUAGGAAGCAGAGGAGUUGAUUGGUAAGUUCAGCUGUCUAAACAUUUGAGUUGGGAAAAUAAUGGAAAAGAGUGAAAUCCGAGGAUCUUUGAUCCCCAGUACAAUGAGUAUGUGGUGCACACUUGUAAUCUGAGUGCUGAGGAGUCAGGGAAAGGUAGAUUUCCUGGGGCUUGCUGAUUCGCCAGCCUCCUUAGCCUAGUCAGUGAGCUUCAGGCCAGUGAAUAGAUCCUGUCUCCAAAACCAAGGUGUGUGGAGGGAGGUAGUGGGGAGGGAAUAAGAGCCUCAUGAGGGUCAGGGGAACACACAACCAAGCCUGGUCUUCAUUGGGAGUUCCAGGCCAGCCAAGGCUAUGUAGUGAGAGCCUGUCUCAAAACAAGUAAACAACAAAAAGUGGGCUGUUCCUGAAGACUGGCAUCCAAAGUUAACCUCCGGUCUGCUGUGGGAUGUCUUUCUUUAUGCUGUGAAUGUGUGUGGUUUCCAUUGCAUAAUAAAUAAAGCUGUGUCGGCCUAUGGCAAGAAAGCUUACUGCCAGGUGGGAGAUUCAAGCAGAGAUAGAGAGAGAGGAAGGGUGGGGUUGAGAGACACCAGCCUGCUUCCCAAGGGGCAACAACGCCACAGCCAGGUGGCAAAACACAGAUUCAUAGAAAUGGUUAAUUUAAGAUGAUAGAGCUAGCUAGCAAGAAACUUAAGCCAUUGGCCAUACAGUUUGUAAUUAAUAUAAGCCUUUGAUUAUUUUAUUAGUGGCUGUAGGACCGUGGGGCUGGGUGGGACUGGAGAAACUUGUGGCUACACUGGUCUCCAAGUGCACUUACAUACAUGUGUGUACACCAUACACAUAUACACAAAAUUAUAGAGAAGGUAUGUCAAUAUUCAUUCAGUCAUAUAUACAGUGGCCCUACUAUGUGCCAGGUACUGUUCAGUGCUAUAGGUACCACCAUAAAAUAAAAUUCAUCCUUUUUUCAGAAGUUACAUCCUAGUGGGAAAGGCAGACAGAAAAUAAGUAACCCCAUAAGGUAUUGAAUGGUAAUGUGCCUUCUACAGAAAAAGAAAGGUGAAACCUUGAAAUUUAAGCUGAUCUGAACAAAGUGAGGCAGUUAGCUGUGAGGACAUUUGAGGAAAGAAAUCCCUAAAGGCAGAACAUGCCUGGCUUAUUACAGGAAAGAGGCCAGUAUGGCCAGGAGACAAUUUAGGAAGGUCUUGGAAGAGCUAAUGUCAGAAAAGUUGUGGGGAUUUGGAUCCGUUAUAAAUCUGACUAAAUCUGAGUGAGGUGGAAGGUCAUUUAAAGGUUCUGAUUAAAGAGAAAAGUCACAAGGGUUUUUGUUUGGUUUUUCUUUUCUUUUUCAAUGCUGGGGAUUACUCAGGACCUUUGCCUAUAUUGUGCAAUUGUAAUGCCUCUGAGCUAAAUCUUAAACCCACAAGUUGCAUCUUGAAACUAGCACUCAGCUUUAUUGAAAGCUGUUGUAAUGAAACCCAGUCUGAUGAGUCAGGAAAUGAUACCACAGACCUGAAUCCUAACACUCAGAAGGUGGGAACAAGAUCCCAAGUUCCAGCCCAGGCUGGGCUAUGGAGCAAAAUUCUGUCAUAAAAAUCCAAAAUAGGGGCUGGAUAGAUAGCUCAGAACUUAAUGUUCUAAAAAAGGACCCGAGUUCAGUUCCCAGCAUUCAUGUCAAGCGGCUCACAACCAUCUGUAAUUCCACCUUCAGGGACUCCAAUAUCUUUGGCCUCUGUGGGCCCCAGCACAUGCAUAUAUACACAUCAUUUAGAAAAUAAUAAAGUGCAUAAAAUAUAUAUAUGAUAUAUAUAUAUAUCAUAUAUAUAUAUAUAUAUAAAACAAUAUAUAGCAUGUAUAUAUACACACAGAAUAAACAGGAGCCAGGAAAAAGGCUCAGAGGGUAAAGGUACUUGCCUCCAGGCCUGAUGACCUGCAUUCAAUCCCUGGGUCCCAUAUGGUAGAAGGAGAAAAACUGAUUCUUUUUUUUUUUUUUAAUAUUUAUUUUGUGUGUGUGGGUGCUUUGUGUGCAUGGGUGUCUGUGCACCAUGUGUGUGCCUGGUGCCCUUGGAGGCCAGAAGAAACCAUCAGAUCCCCAAGAACUAGUGUAACAGAUGAUUAUGAUCCACCAUGUGGGUGCUGGGAAUCGAACUCAGAUCUACUGGAAGAGCAGUAGUGCUCUAAACCAAUGAGCCAUCUCUCCAGCCCCAGAAAACUGAUUCUUGAAAGUUGUUCUCUGACCUCCAUAUGCAUGCUAUGGUAUGUAACUGUACAGGUGCACACACAUAAAUAAAUGUAAUAAACUUUUUAAACCCCAAAUAAUAAAAAGACCCAGGUUAGAAAUUAUUUGGACUAAUGUAGAAAUGAUAGCAUUAGUGAAGAAUGGUUAAAUUCUGGAUAUAUUUGAACUUAAAGUGGAAAAGAGGGUGAGGCAAAAAUAAACAUUCACUUAAACUAUUAAUAUAGCCCAUGUGGUGGCUCAGGCCUCUAGUUUCAGUAACAAGGCAGGAGGAUUGCUAUUAGUUUGAGGCAAUCCUGUCUCAGAAAACAAAAUACCCACUAUCAACAAACAAAUUGUGUUGUCUACGUCUCCUGUUUCUGUGAUAAAAUACAAUACAAAAGCAACUUAAGGGAGAAAGGUUUAUUUUGGUUCAUAAUUUGAGACUACAGUUCAUUGUGACAUAGAAGUCAAUGCAACAGGAGCUUGAGUUGAUCAUAUUGUAUCCAUAGUCAAGAAGCAGAGAUCGAUGGGUGGUGCCUUUUUAAUACCAGCACAUGGGAGGCAGAGGCAGAAGGAAUGCUGUUUACUGGCUUACUCCUCAUUACACAGUCAGCCUGCUUUCUUAUGGAACCCAGGACCACCAGUCCAGGCAUGGCCCCACCCACAAUGGGCUGAGCCCUCCCCCAUCAAUCACUAAUUAAGAUGAUACCUGUACAGUUACAUCUAAGUUGGAUCUUAGGGAGGAAUUUUCUCAAUUGACAUUCCCUUCUCUCAGGUGACUAGCUUGUGUCAAGUUGACUAGCCAGAAGGAUAAUGCAUUAUUUACUUCUUUGUCUUUUGGUAUUUUGAGAUAGGAUGCCACUGUGUAGCCUUGGAUAGCCUGAAACUUUCUAUGUAGCCCAAACUUUAGACCUUUUUUGCCUCAGCAGAUUGAGUCUGGAGUGACCAAGAGAAACAUUGUUUUACAUCAUCCUCUUGUGAACCAAGUGAUGAUGGCAAUUUAAUCCAGAAGGAACUUCUCUAAAAAGUUUAAAAGACAGGCUAAAAAUAUAAGUGUGUGGAUAAUUAGGAGGAAGGAGGUGAGUAAGAGGAGUAGCCGGGAUAGGAGGGAGCCAAGAGCCCAUCCAGAGGAGGAGGCUUGGUGAAUUCUAUGUCUGUUGGGUGUAGAAGCAGCAUUGUUUCUGGAGGAGCACAAGUCCCUCUGUUGGCACACUCGGGAAGUCUAGUCCUCUUUGAUUUUGGCUUGGGCAUUUAAGACACUAGGCCUGUAUUUCGCUACUGCAGGUGGACACUGCAGUGUUGGAUUGAGCCAAGGUCAGGUCUUAUAUAUGAGCAAUAUUUCUUUCUUGAGAAUUAUUAGUGAGAGAUACAGUGAUAUCUGAGGAGUGCAGUCCCUUGGACUGUCUAAGAAAUGUGCUGAUUAUUUUAAUCCUGGUUAUACUUGUCUGCUGGGUGUUUUAGGCCAUGCAGGUGACCAAAAUGAAUUACUUUCAUUUUACUUCCAAUUCCAGUUGAAGAUCUAGACCUCAGGGGUCAGGCUCUUGGGUUUGGGAGGAUCCUAGGCUCCUCUAGUCGUUCCUCUGCCACUUGUUCCAUCUCUGUGAGGGUAACUUGAGGCCUUUGGUAACCAUUGUUUCACUUGGAAGUACGGAAGAAAUUUCUCCUCGUUUGACCCUUCCUCUUUAUAGACUAGACACUGGUUAGAAUUCACCAGAUACCUCUCCACACUCUCCUGAACAAGAAAUAGGUGACUCUUCAUGGUUACAGAAUAUUCCAAGAGAUGCUCCCACAGUUCCUUGGGAUGUAGUUGACCUUGGAGGGGGAACUUCUUUUAAUCCUUUUGACCACAUCAAUAUAGACCUCUAAAUAUGGUUACUGAACACCUAGAAGGUAAGUCACACCAGGCUGGUAUUUUAAUUACUGUCUAAUAUUUUAAAAACCACACUUUUCUAAAUAGUUUAAAGAGAUACAUUUUAGCCAGGUGGUGGUGGCACACACCUUUAAUCUCAGCAGUGGUUUACAGAGAGUUCCAGGAUAGCCAGGGCUACACAGAGAAACCCUGUCUAAAAAACAAACAAACAAACAAACAAAACAAAGGCAAACAAAAAACCGUUAAUGCCAUAUGCAUCCUCUCUAAAUUUCACCCUUUAUAUCUCUUAACUAACUCACUCAGACCUUUACAACUUAUACCAGCUUUCUCAUUCUGGAAAUAUACCCAGCCAUCUCAAUCAUCAUACAAAAAUGCUUUACUAAAACAAUUUAAAUGUUUUUUUUUUUUUUUUUUGUUUUUACUGAUUACUACCCUUUCCCCCCAAGAGGGUUUCUCUGUGUAGCCCUGGUUGUCUUAGAACUCUCUCUGUAGAUCAAGCUGUCCUUGAACUCACAGAUCCAUCUGCCUCUGUCUCACAAGUACUGGGAUUAAAAGCAUGUACCACCAUGUCUAGCCUAUGAUUUUCUUUCUUAAUAGCAUAGACAUAAUAACUUUAAUAAAUAAAUUUUCCAUUUGUUGUGAGGAUUUUCUUCUGGGGUGUUGAAGAGAACUAAGUGAGGUCUAUCCCUUUCUCAUAAAGACCCAAUGACAAACGGAAGUUUGAUUUCAUCAAAGAUGAACUUGGAGAACCAGUGAGUUUAUUGGGUUUACUUACAGAACAUGAGUGAGGGGUUCUUGACAGGAGUGUUGAUGACCCAAAAGCAGUUACCCUGGAAAGGCUUCACCCAGUAUUAUGAGGGCUUCCCCAUACUUAACACAGGGAGAACCAGAGUUUAACUUGGAAGAUCCUGUACUUAUAACUAGUUUGUGUGGGCCUGCAGACAGGCAGACAACCUGAAAAACUUAACAUAUCUGUAUAUAUUUUUUAAUGUUCCCUUUUCAUCUUGUCCCUAGGACAGAUGAAGUUGAGACACCCAGCAUCCUAAGAGGUAGACAUUAAUGGCCUUUGACUCUUACCUGCUGGACAGAUCAAGGUCGUGCCUGAAGCUGAAGAGAUAGAACCUGCAGUGGGUUAAAGUCCUGUUGUUUGUUGUGAUGUUCUGUAAACUAAAGUCACCUCUUGUCUGUGUAGAGGGGAGUGUCCCUCUGUCCCAACACAUCUCAAACAAUAGCCUGAGGAAAUGUUAGCUGAUGAUAGUGCACCAGGCCUGGCUUGGCCUGACAUAAGCUCUGAGAGUUCCCAGCAGCUGGAGGAGGGAAGGCAAGGCACAUGUUCUUCCAAUCGAAACAGAAAGGAGAGGAAUUCCUCUGCACCAUGCUCCCUGACCUUAUGAUUGUUUUCUUACUCUGUAAGAAAGUGCACAUUUCAGUUUCAGAAAUCCGAUAGAUAGGAAGCAAGCAUGAUAAGCACUCAUGGUGAUCCUCUUUUUCUUUUCUUUUUUUUAUUUAUAGAGAAUUAUCUUCAUUGGGAAAACCUUUUUUUUCUAUAUUUUCAUUUUUUUUACAUACCAACCACAAUUUCCCCUCCCUCUUCCCCUCCUGUUCCCUCCUCCCACCUCCUUCCUGUCCCCUGCCCCCAUCCAGGCUUCCAUUCAGAAAGAGGCAGGCUUCCCAUGGGAGUCAACAAAGCAUGUCAUAUCAAUUUGAGGCAGGACCAAACUCCUCCCCCUGUAUCAAGGCUGGGCAGUGCAUCCCAGCAUGGGGAAUAGGUUCCAAAAAGCCAGCUCAUGCACCAGGGAUAGGUUCUGAUCCCACUGGUAGGGACCCCACAAACAGACCAAGCUAUACAACUGUCACCCACAUGCGAAGGGCCUGGGUUGGUUUCAUGCAGGCUCCCUAGCUGUCAGCCCAGAGUCUGUGAGCUCUGACUAGCUCAGGUCAGCUGUCUCUGUAGGUUCCCCCGGCAUGAUCUUGACCCCCCUUGCUUGUACAAUCCCUCCUCCCUCUGUUUAACUGGACUCCCAGAGCUCAGCCCAGUGCUUGGCUGUGGAUCUCUGCAUCUGCUUCCAUCAGUUACUGGAUGAAGGCUCUUUAAUGACAAUUAGCGUAGUCACCAGUCUGAUUACAGGAGAAGGCCAGUUCAGGCACUCUUUCCACUAUUGCUAGGAGUCUUAGCUGGGGUCAUCCUUGUGGAUUGUGGGAGUUUCCCUGGCACCAGGUUUCUCCCUAACCCCACAAUAGCCCCCUCAAUCAAGAUAUCUCUUCCAUUUCUCUUCCCACUCUGUCCUGCCCCCAACUCUACCAACCAGUCAGUCCCUCAUGUUCCCAUCUCCCCAUCCUCUGCCUUCCACUCUCCCCCUCCCCCUGCCCCCAGUUUACCCAGGAGAUCUCUUCUAUUUCUCCUUCCCUGGGAAAUCCUUGUGUCCUUCUCUCUUAGGGUCCUUCUUGUUGCCUAGGGAAAGCUUCCUUUCAAUCACCACAUGUAAACUGGGUUUAAGUCCCUUUAAGAUAAAGAAUAUUAAACACAGGGAAAAAAAUCUAAGAACUCAGAAGGUGAUGCAUUUUAAUCUUUUUCUAUACUGUGGGGCAGCCAGUGCCUGGCAGUUUGUCCUUUGGGUCCCUGUUGGAAUCUGUGCUUUACCAGUAUUCUGCUGUUGGUGCCUGCAAAUUUCAGAGUGUUAGCUCUCUUUGUUAGGAGGCCAGUGUUGGAGGCAUGUGGUGGGAAAAUGCUUCAUGUUUUUUGUUUUGUUUUGUUUUAGUUUGGUUUGUUGAGACAGGGUUUCUCUAUGUAGCUUUGGAGCCUGUCCUGGGACUCACUCUGUAGACCAGGCUGGCCUUGAACUCACAGAGAUCUGCCUCUCUCUGCCUCCUGAGUACUGGGACUAAAGACGUACCACCACUGCCUGGUCUCUUCAGUUCUCUUUAGAAUCCAGUAAAUAAUGUCAUUUAAAAACAGUGUUACAACUAAAACAAAACACUGAAAAUUAAAAAAAAAAAUCUUGACUGUCUGGUAUUACCUCCUUAUUCUGAUUAAAAAAAAAAGAGGGGUGCAGUAAUCCCCCGAGGGCUCAGUGGGAUGGGGAAGUUUUAUGGUGCCAGUAUUUUGGUUUAUGCCAUGUGGUUAUAGUAACCAAGAUGGUGGUGAAGUCACGUAGCAUUUGCUGUCUUUAUGAUGUCAUUAGCCAAGAUGGUGGUAAACCACAAGGUUGUUUUCUGCUUAUGAGCUCAGCUCCAUGAUAAAGCAAGCCCAUUCCCCAUCAGGGCAUGGGUCCCCAUGAGAACCCCAUAAGUGAGCCCAUCCUCCAUUAGGGCAUGGCUCUCUGUGGGAUCCCCACAGAUUAAAUCUGGACAGUCUUGUUUACGUUGGGAUGAAGGUCCAAUGACCCUCCUUUCUCCCUCCUCCUACAAAGGAAGACCUACACUCAGCAAGCCAAUCAUCACAAUCUUUUAUAAGCCUCCAUAGAUACUCUUAUGGAGAUGGUAGUUGUUCGGCCUAGAAGUUAGUGUUGUGUAAUACCAUCUUAAUAAAGAAAGUUCAAUCCAAACUACAUAUACAGGUGUGGUGGUUUGAUUGGAAAUGGUCCCCUUAGGCUCAAAUAUUUGGAUGCCCCCUCAGUUGCCCGCCCCCUGCAGUUGGUGGAACUGUUUUGGAAGAUUAGGAGUUGUGGGCUUGUUGGAGGCUGUGUGUCACUGGGGGUGGACUUGGAAUUUUAAAAAGCUCAUGCCAGUCCCAGUGAGUCAUCCCUGCCACCUCCUGCUUCUGGAUCAGAUGAAACUCAGCUACUGCUCCAGCACUAUGCCUGCCUGCUUCCAUGCUCCCCUCUGAAACUGUAAGCAAACUGUAAGAAAGUUAAAAGCUUUCUUUUAUAAAUUGUCAUGGUCAUAGUAUUUUGUCACGACAAUAGAAAAGUAAGACAGUAGGAUAAUGUAAUAACAUUUACCUGUGUACAUACUUUUAAACUCUGAGGCUUUGUACAUUUCUAGGUAAAUCUUAUAGAAAACACAAGACAGUAUUUCUACAAUGCAUGGUGUCAUCUAUAAUAACCAUGCUUUUGGCUUUGAAUGAAUCUAUGUAGCAGAUACAUAGCAAAGCAUUUACAACCUCUUAUAGAAAUCAACCAAGGAAGCCCUGACAAAACUAGUAUAUUUGGAAUUAUUGGUUAAAAGACUUUGAGGUGGAAAGUCCUUUCCGUUUUCUCUGUGGAUGAGCAUCCCAUUAGCUGUUUAUAUUAUAGACAUCUCUGUAUUGACAUAAAUAGUAACCUAUGCUGGAUAUAGUUAAUGUUAGUAUUCUAACCCGCCCCUCGGAAACCAAUGUUAGUAUUCUGACCUGCCCCUAGAUACCGCCUUGCAUCCUGAUGUAAAAGCCUUAUUUUACGGAAAAACCCUCCCUUUCCUCUCUUCCGCUCUCUUUCUUCCCCACCACGAGAUGCGCACACCCCUGCUUUUCCUGUCUUCUUUUCCUCUCUCCUUUCUGUCUUUCUGUCUCUUUAUCUCCUGUUAUAAUAAACUCAUUUCCACGAAUGGCUGUCUGCUGCAGCCCUGCCGUCAGGCCUGAAUAGCGUGGAUCUCCUGCCAGCCCCUCCACUCCCCACUGCAUCUGCCCUGCAUGCCAGCAUGUUUCCCUGCACACAUGGAAUACCCUCAGGGUCCCCCAUGCAAUAUAUCAUAACAGUUAAUUUAUUAGCUGACCUUAAGGGCACAGUGCCUUUACUCUUGGGUUGCUUUAUUAUUCUUUUCCUUGCCACAGAGUUGGGACCAGCCUGACGACCCAGGACGGAGGACAUUUUGAUACAAUGAUGUUUGAAUCUGAAGUGGGCCAGAUCCCAUAUCCAGAGUCAGCUUCUCAGGAAUCUUAAACAGUUCAUGAUAAUAUGCCAAUAUAAUAUAUAGAUAAAAGACAUUUGUUUUUCUGUAAAAUGAACUCAACAGUUUAAAAUCCAGAUACCUUAUAGAAUCCAGGAACUGGUGUCAAGGCCAAGGAUAAAGAUCAGGUGUUUGGACCUGCAUAGCUUACACAGUCUGUCCUGCUGGGGGCUGGACCUAACUAAAAACUGGCUGGGCCACUUCACUUUGCAGUGAGGCCGUGGUCUUGCAGCUGGCCAGGUUGCUGAGACUUCUUGGGUCUCUCGUCACAAAGAAGAGGCUGGGGUCUGUGAGAGGGCAUGGCUAUGCACCCUGCUGCCAUGGCUUUUACUCCAGCAGCUCCUGGUGGGUGCCAGAGCACAGAUGACAUUUUAUUGUGGCACACCUGGGACAAUUAAAAGCCAUCAACUAAAAAGUAGGUAUCAUAGCUGUGUGAGUUUAUUACUGGGUCCCCUAUUCUGUUCCAUUGGCCUACAUUUUUAUUUUUAUAGCAGUACCAUACUGUACUAUAGUAGUGCAGGCAGAUAUUACGAAUUCAGAGUCAGCCAGGUCUACACAGCAAGUUCCAGGCUGUUGUGAGACCCCUCCCCCAUAAUAAGAAUGUUAAGAUACAGCAAAUUAAAUGCUCUUAGAGUCCCAGAUAUACCCAGACAUCUGACAACCUUAAAGUUAGAAAUAUCCAAAGAUUUGGGUUAGCUCUUGGCCAAAUUAAAAUAUAUUUCCCUCAUCUGCUACCUUUACUUUUUUGGGUCACAGUGUGUCUUAUUAACUUUAGAAAUAAUAUGCAUAUAUUACAGGUAAAUGUUAUUCAGAUACAUAGGACAAAAGAAAAUACUCAGACCUAAACCAUGGUGACUAGUAGAUUCAGCAUGAUCCACAGAUUUCUUAAUGGCUUUACCAACCACCUUGCUCUACUGAAGACUGACCUCCUGCAUAGUCAGCCUCAUCUAUAGCAUGUCCUAGGAAGAAGCCUUUCUAGUACCAAGAGACAUAAGACAAUGUGUUCUAAAUACACGAAGUGAUGUGCUUGACUAACAGGGGAAGUAGAAACUCAAAUUCCCAGAACAAAAGUCACACCUUGGUUAUUAGACUUUCAGCAACUUACUUCAGCAUUUGUGGAGAGUUACAGGAUUACAGGCCCAGAGCUGUAUUGGAGAUCAUGACAAAACUUGAGUCAUCAGGAAGAGGGAAUGUCAGCUGAGACAUUGCCUCCAUUAGACUGGCCUGUAGGUAAAUCUGUGUGGCAUUUUCUUGGCUAGUGAAUGAUCAAUGUGGAAGUGACCAGUCCACUGUAGUACCAUACCUGGGCAAGUGGUUCUGGGGUAUAUAAAAAGCAAACUGAGCAAGCCAUGGGGUGCAGCCGUAUAAGCAGCACUGCCCCAUAGCCUCUGCUUCAGUCCUGCCGUGACUUCCCGUCAUGACGGACUGCAACUGUGAGCCGGGAUAAACUGCUUUCCUCCCCAGGUUGCUUUCGGCCAUAGUGUUUACCACAGCAACAGAAACCUAACUAAACAACAGCCAGAAUGAUUGGGGCUACUUUAGUCUCCUAACAUAGCAAUUUAAUAUUUUUUCAAGAGAAAUUUUAUGUGCAUGAGUAUUUUGCCUGCCUCUACAUCUGUGAAUCACCAUUUGUGAGCCUGGUGCCUGCAGAGGCCAGAAGAGGGCAUUUGAUUCCCCUGAAGCCAGAGUUACAGAUGUUGUGAGCCUCCAAGUUGGUGCUGGUAAUCUAACUCUGGUCCUCUGGAAGAGCAGAGUGCUCUUAACCACUGAGCCAUCCCCACUCCCCAUAGCCAAUUUCUUACCUGCCUCUGUGUGUGAUCUAACAUUCCUAUGACAGGACUCCUGGCAAAAAUGGUCAGUCCAACAGCUUGCCUCAUGUGAACCAGUGAAACAUCUGCAAUUCCUUUCUAGAACUCCCCCAACCAAAGAGAUAGUUGAUGAUUAUCUGCUGCUCUGAGACAUAGUGUUCCGGGUUGUAGUUCUAGCAUGCCCCUUUUCAUGUUAGACCUGUGUAUAAGAAUUUGCUUACUUUCUCCAGAGGGAAGUCAUUCUUUUGUAUUCCAGUGGUUGCCUUAGCUAAGCCUUUCUCUUCUUUUUGAUGUCAUAAACACCCUAAAAAUCUUCCUUUUGCCUCUUUUAUUCCCUUUCAUGUUCUCCACUUCUAAUAACCAGAUAAUCAAAUUAUUUCUUUCAAAUCUCACCCUUUCUAGCUAUCUGACUUCACUCAAGGCUGAAGCUACAUACAAAUGGCAUCUGCUCAAGAGUGGACUUUAUGAAACACAGGGAAAUAUAUGAGACCAGCCAUUAUGGUUCUCUGCCACUCAAUGAUUAUUACCCAUCUUUUCCCAAAAGGGUUUCUUAAGACAUUGCCUAAAAAUGUGCUACAUUCAUAAACUGACCGUAGUGGAAAUUUAUCUCACAGGGGCUCUUGUUUAACCUAGAAUCCAGCUAACAUUACCUUUCUGUUUUUAUAAUAAAGGGUCUGUGACCUACAUGUAAAAAAAAAAAUCUGCUAAUCCCUGCCAAUAUAUUUUCCUAGUGGAAACUCCAAAACUGUGUAAUCAUUUAGCCAAGAUUAACCUUAAGGGCAUUCUCAACAACCCUAUUCCAAACUGUCUUUACUCUGAUGCCUUCCCCUCCAACCUCCUCUAGCCUAACAAAAUACCAAAUAUAUUCUUCAGGGAGCUGAUACAAUAGAAACUUGGGUUUCAUAGGCAUUCCUUCCUCUGAUGGCAUCUGUUCUAUAUUAACUAUUAACCUUUCUAUUCACUCUCAACCCUUUCUUCUUAAACUUAUGUAUUGAUUUCUUCUAUAAUUCAACAAAUCCAAUUCCAAGUGGCUUUACAACACAUGGACAAUGUCCUGUUGAUGCAUAAAUUCAGAUACAAGCUCCUUACCCAAAGACUAAUAUCAGACUACCCAUUACCAGAUGAGAGGGGACCACCCCAAUCCAUUGAGGCCUCACUUCAGCAGGAAGCAUCCAGAGAUUUGAGUCAUAUGGCCCCCUAAUCCCUUUAUCCUCUCAUCUCCUUUCCUAUUAAAAAAUCCCUUAUUUUUAUUUUUAAGAUUUACUUUCAUUGUAUCUCUGUGUGUUUUGUCAGCAUGUAUGCAUGUGCAUCAUGUACAUGCCUGGUGCCCAUGGGCCAGAACAGGGUGUUGGGAUCCCCUAGUGCUGGAGUUAGAGGUGGCUGUGAAUCACCAUGUGGGUGCUACAGACUGAACCCACAUCUUCUGCAAGAGUAGCAAGUACUUUCAACUUCUGAGCCGUUGUCUUAGUUACUUUUCUAUUUCCAUGACAAGACACAUGACCAAGACAACUUACAGGAGAAAAGCAUUCAAGUGCCAGUAGAGUCCAUGACCAUGACGGUAAGGAGGAUGGCAGCAAGAGGCAGGCGUGGUGCUGGAAGCACAGCUAAGAGCUCUCAUCUGAUCUGUAAGAACGAGGCAGAGUGGGAGCUGACAAUAGUUUGGGCUUUUGAAAACUCAAAGCCCACCUCAGUGACACACCUCCUCCAACAAGGCCACACCUCCUAAUACUUCCUAAAAGUUCCACCAACUGAGGACCAAGCUUUCAAAUAUAUGAGCCUAUGGGGCCAUUCUCAUUCAAACCACCAUCCCAUCUCUCCAGCCUCACUCUGUCUUUUAAAAAUACUUUUUAUUGUUUGAAAUUUUUAUACAUGCAUAAAAUGUGUUUUGAUCAAGCCCCCUCCCCUUGUUCCUUCCACUCCAAUUCCUUCUCUAUCUUCCUGUCACUUUUCCCUCCCACUUUAUGUGCUCUUUUUAAAAACUCACUGAGUCCACUUAGUGUUGUCUGUGUGUGCAUGAGUGUAGGACUGUAUUAGCCACUGUUCUAUUGCUGUGAAGAGACACCAUGACCAAGGCAAUUCUUACAAAAGGAAGUAUGUAACUGGGGGCUUGCUUACAAUUUUAGAGGGUCAGUCCAUUGUCAUGGCGGGAGCAUGGCUCAAAGGCAGGACUGGUGCUGGAGAAGUAGCUGAGAGCUACAUCCUGAUCCACAGGCAGCAAGCAGAGAGAGAGAAAUAGAGACUCAGGCCUGGUGUGGGAUUUUGAAACCUCAAAGCCUACCCCCCCAGAGACAUAUCUCUUCCAGCAAGAACAUACCUACUACAGUAAGACCAUACUUCCUAAUCUUUCCAAACAGUUUGCCAACUGGGGGCGAAGCUCGAAAAUAUAUGAGUCUAAGGGGGCCAUCUACUAAAUCAUGGGGAGUCUCUCACAGCCCACAUCCCUAAUAAAAACUGGCGCUCCCUCUCCCAGAAAACAUCAAUAGCUCUUCAGAUGGGGUGGGACUUCCUGAGCACCUCCCUCCUUCAUGCAUGCUGGGAUUUUGAUGGCUUGAUCUUGUGUGUUCUUGUGCCUGGAGUCUCAGCUGCCCUGAGUUUAUAUGUGUAAUGGCAUCGUCACGUCUGGAAAUUGGUGUUUUGCCACUGGCAUCAAGUCCCUCUGGCUUUCAGUCUUUCUGUCCCUCAUCUGUGAAGAUCCCUGAGCCUUAAGGGAAGGGGUGUGAUGUAGAUGUCUCCUUUAGGGCUUAGCUUUCACAAGUUUGGGGUAAACACAUCCUGGUAUGGCCUUGAACUUGUCAGACCGGUACACAGGCUGGGGGGCCCUAAUGGUAUGAGAAAAGGCUGGUCAGGCCUUUGCUUUAAGCUACCAGAUUUUGCUCAGGUGAGCAGGUUGAGGAAGAAGCCAGCCAUCUUGGAAACUUGCCAUCUUUAUUACCUAGUCAUGGGCCCUCAUCUGUUGGCAGGGAGUCUGUCUAUUUCCUAGUCCUUCAGUUGGAUUUAUGCCACCACUAGCCCUAUAAGAAGAUGCCAUCAUUCAGAUGCUUAGGAACAAUUGGUAACACAAAUAGUUUUAAAAUAUUUAUUAAAUUUCAUACUUUUAAUGCAACUCAAAAAUACUUUAUUACCUAACUUUCCGCAUGUUUAUCCAUGACUAAAAAACUCAUUUUCUCUACUU